Molecule: ribosomal RNA, 465 nt
Filed under: uncultured bacterium
Lineage: Bacteria
Description: partial 16S ribosomal RNA
Rfam family: Bacterial small subunit ribosomal RNA
Source: RNAcentral
CCUACGGGAGGCAGCAGUAGGGAAUCUUCCACAAUGGGCGAAAGCCUGAUGGAGCAACGCCGCGUGGGUGAAGAAGGUCUUCGGAUCGUAAAACCCUGUUGUUAGAGAAGAAAGUGCGUGAGAGUAACUGUUCACGUUUCGACGGUAUCUAACCAGAAAGCCACGGCUAACUACGUGCCAGCAGCCGCGGUAAUACGUAGGUGGCAAGCGUUAUCCGGAUUUAUUGGGGGUAAAGGGAACGCAGGCGGUCUUUUAAGUCUGAUGUGAAAGGCUUCGGCUUAACCGGAGUAGUGCAUUGGAAACUGGGAGACUUGAGUGCAGAAGAGGAGAGUGGAACUCCAUGUGUAGCGGUGAAAUGCGUAGAUAUAUGGAAGAACACCAGUGGCGAAAGCGGCUCUCUGGUCUGUAACUGACGCUGAGGUUCGAAAGCGUGGGUAGCAAACAGGAUUAGAUACCCGAGUAGUC